RNAcentral lists this unclassified non-coding RNA (307 nucleotides) under plant metagenome. RNAcentral describes it as "partial contains 5.8S ribosomal RNA, internal transcribed spacer 2, and large subunit ribosomal RNA". The stretch from base 1 to 105 matches the Rfam family "5.8S ribosomal RNA", at positions 50 to 154 of the family's 154-position model. The record is from RNAcentral.
GAAAUGCGAUAAGUAGUGUGAAUUGCAGAAUUCAGUGAAUCAUCGAAUCUUUGAACGCACAUUGCGCCCUUUGGUAUUCCAAAGGGCAUGCCUGUUCGAGCGUUAUUUGUACCCUCAAGCUUUGCUUGGUGUUGGGCGUCUUGUCUCUAGCUUUGCUGGAGACUCGCCUUAAAGUAAUUGGCAGCCGGCCUACUGGUUUCGGAGCGCAGCACAAGUCGCACUCUCUAUCAGCAAAGGUCUAGCAUCCAUUAAGCCUUUUUUCAACUUUUGACCUCGGAUCAGGUAGGGAUACCCGCUGAACUUAAGC